This 894-nucleotide small RNA is filed under the name Pan troglodytes (chimpanzee). Its description in RNAcentral is "retained intron". The record is from RNAcentral. Lineage: Eukaryota; Metazoa; Chordata; Mammalia; Primates; Hominidae.
GCUGUGGCCUCUCCUAGUGAGGGGACACGACUCCUGCAGAAGUCCUGGCUCACCGUCCAGUCUGCAUGCAGGGCCAGGCCAGGUGUGCCCAUGUCCAGCUCCUUCCUGCCUGAGCCUUUACCUGCCAAGAGCCUGCAACAUGGGGUUCCCUUGUCCCUUGACUGUUCUCUCUCUUCCCUCCCAGAGAAGAUCUGCAUACUUCCUAACAGAGGCUUGGACCGCACCAAGGUUCCCAUUUUCCUGGGGAUCCAGGGAGGGAGCCGCUGCCUGGCAUGUGUGGACACAGAAGAGGGGCCUUCCCUACAGCUGGAGGAUGUGAACAUUGAGGAACUGUACAAAGGUGGUGAAGAGGCCACACGCUUCACCUUCUUCCAGAGCAGCUCAGGCUCCGCCUUCAGGCUUGAGGCUGCUGCCCGGCCUGGCUGGUUCCUGUGUGGCCCGGCAGAGCCCCAGCAGCCAGUACAGCUCACCAAGGAGAGUGAGCCCUCAGCCCGUACCAAGUUUUACUUUGAACAGAGCUGGUAGGGAGACAGGAAGCUGCGUUUUAGCCUUGUGCCCCCAAACCAAGCUCAUCCUGCUCAGGGUCUAUGGUAGGCAGAAUAAUGUCCCCUGAAAUAUGUCCACAUCCUAAUCCCAAGAUCUGUGCAUAUGUUACCAUACAUGUCCAAAGAGGAAAUGUGAUUAUGUUAAGGAUCUUGAGAUGAGGAGACAAUCCUGGGUUAUCCUUGUGGGCUCAGUUUAAUCACAAGAAGGAGGCAGGAAGGGAGAGUCAGAGAGAGAAUGGAAGAUACCAUGCUUCUAAUUUUGAAGAUGGAGUCAGGGGCCUUGAGCCAACAAAUGCAGGGGUUUUUAGAAGGUGGAAAAGCCAAGGGAACGGAUUCUCCUCUAGAGUCU